UGAAAGGACUGAAUAUUUAUUCAACGUAAAGAACAGCAAACCAGGACACAUAAAGAUAGAAAACAACACAAGAAUACUGUUAUUAGCUCCACAAACAAACUUUCACAACAAAAAUAAGAGCAAAACACCUUGAAGUCAAGAUUUAACAGAAAUAACAUUUCUGACAGCCUUUCUUAGAGCUACACAGUGGCAGGGAGGGCUGUGGGUCAAAUAACCAAACAAACCUUUUAGAUUUAACAAAAUUAACUCCAAUUAUUUCAUACUAGUUGGCCAUACAUUAAGACACUGCAAAUAUUAAGUCCAUAUAUUUUAUAUACCUCACAUAAAUCUUAAGCCAAGUACAUAACCUCACAAUUAUAUGUAAUUGCCCAGGGUUCACUGAAGAAUCUUGGGUUUCAAUUGUGUUUGAAAACAGUUCCACUUGAAAUCUAUUGCAACAUGCAUGUUACAGAGUAAGUCGAGUUCAUUAGGAGCUUGAUAAAGUAAAACGUGAAUCUUUCUUCUUAGUAUAUAACAUGUAAUCCUUAUUGUUUGGUCUCAAACCCAGAACCAACCAACAGAAUAAGCUGCAGAAUGUACUGGCUAGGCUGACCGAACACGUAAGCAAGAGGGACAUAAGGGCAGCAAAGUGUACAAAAAAAUCAGAAUCAAAUUUUACAUAAGUUUGUAAACGCAGAUGUAAAUGCUCAACUAGUGUGUUACAGGUGUCCUGUUGUAAAAGCAUUCUUGUGUUACAUUUCAAGAUAACAAAACUAAUCCUUAAAUGUGCCUUAAACUAAACAGGAUAUUAUUCAGCUAGCUAUUAAAAAAAGUUGAAGACAGUUAACAUUAUCUAUCUAGUGCCUCUUGUGGCAAUGUUGAGAAUGGGACUGAAACUAGCAUUGUAUUAUGGAUUGCAUUGCAAUGACAUGCAUCAAACUUGCACAACUAGAAGUGUCUAUGUUCACAUAUUUGUGUAGAGUUUUGAACAAUUUCAUUAAGAUGUGGCAGAACAACAACCUUUUUUUACAACAAUUACAAAAAUAAAAAUAAAUUAAAAAAUGUUUUUUUCUUAAAUUGACCCAUACUCCCUUGAUAUUUUUUGUGCAAGAAACUUAACAUCGAAGUAAAUAUGUAUAUAUGUAUGCUUUUAGGUAUGUAUAUAAAUACAUCCACCAUUAUGCAUUAUCCAUGGGCAAAUCAUUACCCCUGCACUUUUCUUUAAAGGUCAUUUGGCACAACUUAUAAUUUGGCUAUAAUCAUGUUGCAUGGCUGAGGCAGUCAGUCGUAAACAUAGCAGUUUGUUUUGAAGCAGGUUCUCCAGCACUGCACUUUACUUCAGACAAAUUUUGACUUUCUUUUCUGCACUGACAGUUACAGUAUGACUUUUAUUGCAAACAUAUAUCCAUGAUGCACAUCUCAGUAACUGUGAGACAGUAGAAGACUGUUUAUCUCAAAAAUACACUGAUGCAGAGGACAUCGAAUCGGUAUGUCAGAGAAAGCAGUUUUCUGCGUUCAAGGUGACUAAAAUUGCAAGUCAAAAAGUGUCGCCCUUACAAGAUUUAGUGGGAUUUCAGUCAUUCCCUAUGACACAGCCUACCGUAUGCCACGGCCUAUGUCCUUGUUCUAUCAACCUUUUGGUAUUGAAUCACAGUGUAAUACGACAUAAAAUAUCUAGCAUGUGUAGCAUGAGUACAACAAGCAUGACAUGAUGAACCACCAAGAGGAUCAAGAUUGAUGUCGUCCAAAAAAUAAAUAAAAAUAAAACACGAAGAUAAUGUUCAUCUUAUACUAUUACAAUAAUAGAAGCCUGAAAUGUGUACCUAUGCUUUCCUUGAGCUUUCAUACUUCAGUUUCUCAUACCAUAACAAGAAUAAGGCAUUUUGUAAAGAACAAGUCACAUGUCAAACCCAGACAAUUGUGAAAAGAAACCAGAAAACUCAAAAUGAUUACAUCUACCAGUUCCACUAACCACAAGGUUGUGUCAGAUGCUUUGGGACAUGCAGAAAAUAGCUGGAUUCACUUUUUUUUCUUUUUAAUACAGUAUAUACAGAGAGCCUGUACAUCAGAUUGUACAUUAAACAUUUAGAAAACUGCACACAAGGUGGUACAUCUAGCAAAGCUAGCAUAAGGCUAGUGUUAGUAGCCAAGAUGCUAACCAUUCAACGUGAUCCAGAAAUUUUAGACCUGAAAAACACACAAGUGGGACUUCAAAAUGUGUAAUCAAGUUUUAAAGCAAUAGUUUAAGCGGUAAAUCAGCAACAUUUGGAAAGUUUUUCAGUCAGAAUUCAUCAGUGCUAACUUUACCAAUUAGCAUUUGUAGUGCUGUACUACAGUACAUUUUAGACAAGUAUGCCGACAAAGUUUACAGAAGUAAUUCUUAUGGUAAUCAACACGACUACGUUUCCCAAGUAUCCUAUUUCAAGUGGGCUGACAACAUCUAAAAAAAUAAAAAUACAACUUUUACUUGUUCUUACAUGUGAAUAAACUAUCAUGCCACUACUCUGCUGAAAAAAAAACAGCAUAUGCUGGUUAGGUAUGUUUUGACGCUGGGAUGCUGG
Molecule: long non-coding RNA, 2540 nt
Organism: Cyprinus carpio carpio
Lineage: Eukaryota; Metazoa; Chordata; Actinopteri; Cypriniformes; Cyprinidae
Source: Ensembl